This is a long non-coding RNA of Pseudophryne corroboree (corroboree frog), 1570 nucleotides long. RefSeq lists it as uncharacterized. The transcript is spliced from 3 exons. The record is from RefSeq and is a predicted model, not a curated record. Lineage: Eukaryota; Metazoa; Chordata; Amphibia; Anura; Myobatrachidae.
UGCUACCUUAGGAUUAGGGUAGGUUCAGUAUUCAUUUCACAUAGUAUUGCCUUACCCUCCCUGCUGUGCUUCAUGGCUUUGCCGUGCCCCCCCCCCCCCCGGCUUAGCUGCAGCCCUUAAUGAGCCCUUUCUGUCCUCCCCUGCUCUCCCUGCCGCUCCCACGCCUGCAGUGACUCAGCCGGGCGGUGUAAGGGCGGUCACGGCUUCCCAGGCCUCUGCCUCCUUGCUGGGGGGAGCGGGACUCGGCGGAGGAUGCCGGCGGCGGGAGGUGGGGGCUUUGUCCAGGCAAGCGGCUGACGCUGUCCGGGCCCUGUCGGAGGCUCUGACAUGUGAGAGGGCGCAUUGUAGGCACUCGGCGGCUUACAGCUGCCUGGAGAGCCCCUCACCUAGUGAGGAUUGGAGGUCAGGAGUUCGUGCCUCCCUGGGUUUCCGUAGGUCUGCGGAGCUUGGGGGGCGGCGCAGUAGGGAGGGACGGGUAGGUUUUAGCAGUGUGGCUCCUGCUACAGCUGUCAAGGGCUUGCGGGGCGGAGACAGGGCUGUGAGGGACGGCAGCCAUUUUGGUGAACGGAGGCCUGGGACUGAUGGUGCUGCUGUGAGCAGUUGUUCCUCCCGUGGCUCCCAUGAUGCAGGGGCUGUAUCUCCCACUCCUGUUACUGCACCCUCUACCUCUGGCCAGGCGGGCAGUGGCCAUAGGGGGGCAAGGGCACCCUCCAGAACUCAGGCUUGCGCUGAUCCAAGUCAGUUGCCUGCUGUUUUUGACCCCUCCCAGUUGUCUGUCGCUUUUUCUUCGGUGGCGGUUGCUCUAGCUCCCUUAAUGUUGGCCAUGUCGCCGAGCUUGGGCGGCCCUGGCCGUAUGGGGCGGGGUUCUAGGGUUGUUGCAGGUGGUGCUACUCCUGGGGUCUCCCAGUUUAUGAGGGCAUUUGGGGUCAUGGGGUCGGCUGUGGCCUAGUUGGAUGGUGAUUCAACUGCAGGGACUGGGGCUCUACCAGUGCUAGCUAAGGCGUCCUUGUCUCCUGGCUCCGGGGCCAGAUUUCCAUUGUUUUUCAGAACCAGAGGAGGACUUGAGUGUGCGGCUGGACAGCGAGAAUGAUUUUGCACCUUGGGUUGAUCAGCCGGAGGCGUCAGGUGUUACAAGUAUUUACUGUUGUCUUGGAAACUUAGCGUACGCCUCCAAACCUCUUGUUAGCUCAAGCCAGUCUGAAACUUUAAAACACUCGCAACCACAGCCCUCUUCGGGAGACGAGCUCACAGAAAACUGUCAAGGAUGAUGUGUUAACAGAAAAUGAGCACAGACCUAGGGCAAUGGGGAGAAAACAAUUGUUUCUCUUCACAAAUUAAAGGAAGAUUUUUAGCUCUUGGCAAUGUGGAUUAUUAUGUCGCUCACAACUGUUCUGCAUUAGUCCCCAAAUUCUUUUCUUUACCAUCCAGUUUUCUUAUGCUCUUAAAUGAACCAUUGAUAGUCUACGUGGCACGAGAAAGAGUGGAGCUGGAAAGUAUUACCACAUAGAGAACAUUUUACAUCACAAAAUAAAUACAUCAUACUGUUAAAUAAAAAAUAUAUUUUCACCUC